Molecule: ribosomal RNA, 399 nt
Filed under: uncultured bacterium
Lineage: Bacteria
Description: bacterial SSU rRNA
Rfam family: Bacterial small subunit ribosomal RNA
Source: RNAcentral
AAUCAACGCUGGCGGCGUGCCUAACACAUGCAAGUCGAACGCGAAAGCCCCUUCGGGGGUAAGUAGAGUGGCGUCCGGGUGAGUAACACGUGGGUAAUCUGCCUUCGGGUGGGGAAUAACCCAGGGAAACUUGGGCUAAUACCGCAUAAUGCAGCGGCACCUAAUGGUGAUUAGUUGUUAAAGCGGGGAUCGCAAGACCUCGCGCCUGAAGAGGAGCCUGCGGCAGAUUAGCUAGNGGUGAGGUAAUGGCUCACCAAGGCUUCGAUCUGUAGCUGGUCUGAGAGGACGGCCAGCCACACUGGCACUGACACACGGGCCAGACUCCUACGGGAGGCAGCAGUGGGGAAUUUUGGGCAAUGGGCGAAAGCCUGACCCAGCAACGCCGCGUGAGGGAGGAAA